ACCAAGCUACCUGCCUUCAUCGUCCCCAUCUCACCAACCUGCAUACCUCGACCUCCUCAACAGUACAGCGACAUCUGUCAUCGUCCCCAUCUCACAAACCUGCCUGCCUCAAACUGCACGUUAUACCUCAACCUGUAACAGAAAGGGGUGAGUGGUGAUGAAUGCUACUAUCUGUGGACCCACAUCCAUGCUGCCAUUCGAGUUGUGCUGAACGUUCAUCAGUGGCUGAUCCUGGGCUGCCAACUGGUGCCACAGAUCCUACUCCAGCAGCUACUACCUCAACCCCAACAUCACAAAGUCCUGAAGUCAGAGAAUCUCAAGAAACUGAGCACAGUGAAGCAGCACCAAGACUUGAUGACGGACAUCCAGCCAGGCAACUCAAGUACAGAAAAGAAAGUACAAAACUCAGUUCUUCAGAAAGAGUCUAUCAAUUACAGGAAAGAGUUCUAUCAGGAGAGCUAGAAAAACAGGAAAUGGAAAAAAAGAAAC
This is a long non-coding RNA of Haliotis rufescens (red abalone), 489 nucleotides long. RefSeq lists it as uncharacterized. Lineage: Eukaryota; Metazoa; Mollusca; Gastropoda; Lepetellida; Haliotidae. The record is from RefSeq and is a predicted model, not a curated record. The transcript is spliced from 3 exons.